GCGGACGUGGCGGAAUUUGGUAUACGCGCUACCUUGAGGUGGUAGUGGCCGCAAGGCCGUGGAGGUUCAAGUCCUCUCGUCCGCACCA
RNAcentral lists this transfer RNA (88 nucleotides) under Candidatus Veblenbacteria bacterium. RNAcentral's name for it is "tRNA-Leu". It matches the Rfam family "tRNA". From Rfam's summary of the family: Transfer RNA (tRNA) molecules are approximately 80 nucleotides in length. Their secondary structure includes four short double-helical elements and three loops (D, anti-codon, and T loops). The record is from RNAcentral. Lineage: Bacteria; Candidatus Vebleniibacteriota.